UCUUCAAAGAUGCAUUUUGAUGCUGAAUUUGAAGUUGAGCUGGUUGUACCAGCAAUGGUGCUUCCUGCACAAAAUGGUAAACAUAAAUGCAGCACUGAUUACUUUGCAAAUCAUGCCCUGAGGCUCGAGGUCCAAUGAAACAGUGAUUUUAGAGGCAAUAUCAGAUAAGGUAUUCUCAUUACUCCCCAGGCCAUUGCAAAAAAUUACUCCCCAAUCCCUGCAAAAAUUUAUGAUUUAAAGAAAGAUUGGUUGUCUCCCCUCAUAGCCCAACUCUACAAACAGCUGUGCUGGUAUGAGUGGGGGAAUUGUGCAACGUGUUGGCAAAUCUGAGCAGCCAAAGAGGGAAAUUUUUUCAACUGGUUUGGUCCCUGAAGCCCAUGUGUCGACAAACCACAGCCUGUGCACCUUAUUAGCUUUCUGCAGGUCCCUGCUAACUAAUGGUAUGUACCUGUCCAUCUGCAGAGCCAAAAAUAGCUACUUUUAAAGAACAGAAAGGAAUUCCUGCUGAGCCUGACAGAAGACAAGCCCACUAUGUGUCUGCCUGGUGCUGUGGAGUCCUGUGACAAAGGUGGCUUGAGGCAGUGCAUUUAUUUUCCAGCUGAUGUGCACUGAUAACCUGACCUCUACACUUACAAGAUUCAUGUAAUAUUUCAUCGCUUACCUCAGCUUCUACUGGCUCCAUAUUCUAAACCCCCAUGUACGUCACAAAGGACCUUCCAAGCAGCUGACAGACAAAACACUUCUGACACCCAUUCUGGGUAGGAUAACACUUAAAUAUGAGAAGGAAAUACAAUGCUGCUCACUCCCCCAAGUGCAAGCUAAUUUUAAAGUUAAUACUAAAGCAUCUACAUUUCUGACAAGUCUAAGAUUUCUGAGACCAGAGCAACAAAAGACAGUCAAAUGCAAACUACAGUACAGACCUCUCUUAAACCCAGAGAGACAAGAUAAGCCUUUUCUGCCUGGCAGCAUUUCAGAGACAUUAAGUGUAAGAGAGAAGAGUUAGUGUAGUUUGCUACUCCGGUGUGACAGUAUUCAGAGCUGAAAAAGGGGCAGCUCUUGCUAUGUGGACCGCACUGAUGGGCUUUUCAAGUUUGCCAUUUUCCUGUGACCGGAGAGGUAAGUAACUCACAUAGUUUGGUUUCAGCCAUGAAAUGGCAAAGGGAGAACCAAGUCAUAGCUCUGCAGAUACUCAGUUGCUCCACUGGUGGCCUCAGCCUUUCCUUUCUUCU
Molecule: long non-coding RNA, 1229 nt
Organism: Pseudopipra pipra
Lineage: Eukaryota; Metazoa; Chordata; Aves; Passeriformes; Pipridae
Exons: 4
Source: RefSeq, a predicted model, not a curated record